RNAcentral lists this long non-coding RNA (195 nucleotides) under Struthio camelus australis. RNAcentral's name for it is "lncRNA (ENSSCUG00000002451.1)". The record is from RNAcentral. Lineage: Eukaryota; Metazoa; Chordata; Aves; Struthioniformes; Struthionidae.
ACGGGAACCUGCCCUGCUGCACCCGGAGGCGCUGCAAAUGCCUGAGGAGACAGGGCGAGGGGAGUGGAGCGGUUGCCUGGAGAAAUCAAGACGGAGCAAGGGCUGAGGAAGACCACGGGCAGCGGGGAAGGCCUGUCAUUAGCCCCGGAGGAGAGGGGAGAUGCUGCCCCCUGCCCCACAGCUGACCUUGGUGUG